This 73-nucleotide transfer RNA is filed under the name Stegodyphus mimosarum. It matches the Rfam family "tRNA". From Rfam's summary of the family: Transfer RNA (tRNA) molecules are approximately 80 nucleotides in length. Their secondary structure includes four short double-helical elements and three loops (D, anti-codon, and T loops). Further hydrogen bonds mediate the characteristic L-shaped molecular structure. tRNAs have two regions of fundamental functional importance: the anti-codon, which is responsible for specific mRNA codon recognition, and the 3' end, to which the tRNAs corresponding amino acid is attached (by aminoacyl-tRNA synthetases). tRNAs cope with the degeneracy of the genetic code in two manners: having more than one tRNA (with a specific anti-codon) for a particular amino acid; and 'wobble' base-pairing, i.e. permitting non-standard base-pairing at the 3rd anti-codon position. The record is from Rfam by way of RNAcentral. Lineage: Eukaryota; Metazoa; Arthropoda; Arachnida; Araneae; Eresidae.
GCCUUCGUUGUGUAGUGGUCAGCAUAUUCGACUAGUAACCGACAGGUCCUUGGUUCGAUUCUCACCGAAAGCG